CUCUCGGGUGACGAGUGGCGGACGGGUGAGUAAUGUCUGGGGAUCUGCCCGAUAGAGGGGGAUAACCACUGGAAACGGUGGCUAAUACCGCAUAACGUCGCAAGACCAAAGAGGGGGACCUUCGGGCCUCUCACUAUCGGAUGAACCCAGAUGGGAUUAGCUAGUAGGCGGGGUAAUGGCCCACCUAGGCGACGAUCCCUAGCUGGUCUGAGAGGAUGACCAGCCACACUGGAACUGAGACACGGUCCAGACUCCUACGGGAGGCAGCAGUGGGGAAUAUUGCACAAUGGGCGCAAGCCUGAUGCAGCCAUGCCGCGUGUAUGAAGAAGGCCUUCGGGUUGUAAAGUACUUUCAGCGGGGAGGAAGGCGACGGGGUUAAUAACCCUGUCGAUUGACGUUACCCGCAGAAGAAGCACCGGCUAACUCCGUGCCAGCAGCCGCGGUAAUACGGAGGGUGCAAGCGUUAAUCGGAAUUACUGGGCGUAAAGCGCACGCAGGCGGUCUGUUAAGUCAGAUGUGAAAUCCCCGGGCUUAACCUGGGAACUGCAUUUGAAACUGGCAGGCUUGAGUCUUGUANAGGGGGGUAGAAUUCCAGGUGUAGCGGUGAAAUGCGUAGAGAUCUGGAGGAAUACCGGUGGCGAAGGCGGCCCCCUGGACAAAGACUGACGCUCAGGUGCGAAAGCGUGGGGAGCAAACAGGAU
This 701-nucleotide ribosomal RNA is filed under the name Pantoea sp. Its description in RNAcentral is "bacterial SSU rRNA". It matches the Rfam family "Bacterial small subunit ribosomal RNA", at positions 81 to 778 of the family's 1533-position model. Lineage: Bacteria; Pseudomonadati; Pseudomonadota; Gammaproteobacteria; Enterobacterales; Erwiniaceae. The record is from RNAcentral.